GGCCUUGACAUACUAAGAACUUUCCAGAGAUGGAUUGGUGCCUUCGGGAACUUAGAUACAGGUGCUGCAUGGCUGUCGUCAGCUCGUGUCGUGAGAUGUUGGGUUAAGUCCCGCAACGAGCGCAACCCUUUUCCUUAUUUGCCAGCGGGUAAUGCCGGGAACUUUAAGGAUACUGCCAGUGACAAACUGGAGGAAGGCGGGGACGACGUCAAGUCAUCAUGGCCCUUACGGCCAGGGCUACACACGUGCUACAAUGGUCGGUACAAAGGGUUGCUACCUCGCGAGAGGAUGCUAAUCUCAAAAAGCCGAUCGUAGUCCGGAUCGCAGUCUGCAACUCGACUGCGUGAAGUCGGAAUCGCUAGUAAUCGCGGAUCAGAAUGCCGCGGUGAAUACGUUCCCGGGCCUUGCACACACCGCCCGUCACACCAUGGGAGUUUGUUGCACCAGAAGUAGGUAGUCUAACCGCAAGGAGGACGCUUACCACGGUGUGGCCGAUGACUGGGGUGAAGUCGUAACAAGGUAAGCGUAGAUGA
Molecule: ribosomal RNA, 533 nt
Filed under: uncultured bacterium
Lineage: Bacteria
Description: bacterial SSU rRNA
Rfam family: Bacterial small subunit ribosomal RNA
Source: RNAcentral